This 97-nucleotide small nucleolar RNA is filed under the name Oryza sativa (Asian cultivated rice). RNAcentral describes it as "U43b small nucleolar RNA". The record is from RNAcentral. Lineage: Eukaryota; Viridiplantae; Streptophyta; Magnoliopsida; Poales; Poaceae.
CUCAAUGACGAGAACAAAGCAGACGGGCGGUCAGAACCUGAUGUUGUGUUGAGUGUCUGCAUGUUUGUGCACUCCUUUUCUGGAGUGCAUCUGAGAG